This 406-nucleotide ribosomal RNA is filed under the name uncultured bacterium. RNAcentral's name for it is "partial 16S ribosomal RNA". It matches the Rfam family "Bacterial small subunit ribosomal RNA", at positions 30 to 526 of the family's 1533-position model. The record is from RNAcentral.
AUUGAACGCUGGCGGCAGGCCUAACACAUGCAAGUCGAACGAGUGGCGGACGGGUGAGUAAUGUCUGGGAAACUGCCCGAUGGAGGGGGAUAACUACUGGAAACGGUAGCUAAUACCGCAUACCAUCAGAGGUGCCCAUAUGGGAUUAGCUAGUAGGUGGGGUAAUGGCUCACCUAGGCGACGAUCCCUAGCUGGUCUGAGAGGAUGACCAGCCACACUGGAACUGAGACACGGCCCAGACUCCUACGGGAGGCAGCAGUGGGGAAUAUUGCACAAUGGGCGAAAGCCUGAUGCAGCCAUGCCGCGUGUGUGAAGAAGGCCUUCGGGUUGUAAAGCACUUUCAGCGAGGAGGCGUUACUCGCAGAAGAAGCACCGGCUAACUACGUGCCAGCAGCCGCGGUAAUAC